RNAcentral lists this ribosomal RNA (403 nucleotides) under Verrucomicrobiota bacterium. RNAcentral's name for it is "Verrucomicrobia bacterium partial 16S ribosomal RNA". It matches the Rfam family "Bacterial small subunit ribosomal RNA", at positions 355 to 776 of the family's 1533-position model. Lineage: Bacteria; Pseudomonadati; Verrucomicrobiota. The record is from RNAcentral.
UGGGGAAUAUUGCACAAUGGGGGAAACCCUGAUGCAGCGACGCCGCGUGAGCGAAGAAGGUUUUCGAAUCGUAAAGCUCUGUCCUAUGAGAAGAUAAUGACGGUAUCAUAGGAGGAAGCCCCGGCUAAAUACGUGCCAGCAGCCGCGGUAAUACGUAUGGGGCGAGCGUUGUCCGGAAUUAUUGGGCGUAAAGGGUACGUAGGCGGUCUAUUAAGUCAGGUGUGAAAGCGUGAGGCUUAACCUCAUUAAGCACUUGAAACUGAUAGACUUGAGUGAAGGAGAGGAAAGUGUAAUUCCUAGUGUAGCGGUGAAAUGCGUAGAUAUUAGGAGGAAUACCUGUGGCGAAGGCUACUUUCUGGACUUUUACUGACGCUCAGGUACGAAAGCGUGGGGAGCAAACAGG